UACAGAGGGGGCAAGCGUUGUUCGGAAUUACUGGGCGUAAAGGGCGCGUAGGCGGCCUGUUAAGUCGAACGUGAAAUCCCCGGGCUCAACCCGGGAACUGCGUCCGAUACUGGCAGGCUUGAAUCCGGGAGAGGGAUGCGGAAUUCCAGGUGUAGCGGUGAAAUGCGUAGAUAUCAGGAGGAACACCAGCGGCGAAGGCGGCGCUCUGGGCCGGUACUGACGCUGAGGAGCGAAAGCGUGGGUAGCAAACAGG
RNAcentral lists this ribosomal RNA (253 nucleotides) under uncultured bacterium. RNAcentral's name for it is "partial 16S ribosomal RNA". It matches the Rfam family "Bacterial small subunit ribosomal RNA", at positions 524 to 776 of the family's 1533-position model. The record is from RNAcentral.